UCCAGUUUUAACCGCUUCCUCCCCGUGGGAAGAAGAGCCGUGGGUCUGAGUUGACCCCUCCCCGCCGCACUCCCCAGUUUCUUCGCCUCCUACUGGCUGGAGAGGGCGCCGGCCAGGCCGCAUGAAGGGUGGGGACAGGGGAUUUUUUGAACCCUGCAAAGUGUAGGGCAGGAGCCCCCUCGACGGCUGGGAAUGGUGCGGGAAGGGGAAGUUUUUACUUUUCCCAACUUGCCAUCCCCAUCUCCACCCACAAGCAAAAAAAAAAAUCACUCGGUUGUGAUUUCAGGCCCCGGGGAGCUCCCUUCGCUGGCUGCGUGACCUCAGGCUGCUCAUUUCCCUUCUCUGAGCCUCAGGGUCCGCAGCUGGGAGAUGGGUGUGCGCGUGAUAAGGAUGGAACGUGCAGGGUGCGUGUCAGGAUGCAACGAGAAGGUGAGGAAACCGAGGCCCCAGAGGGGUGGAGAGAUUUGCGCAAGCUUUCCGUGGGACGGGAGCCCUCCGCUGCCAUCGUUCACUUCCAGAGACUUUGAAGGGAAAGGCCCAGAACUGGCCUUGAGGCUGAGAACCGGUUUCUAAGGUUAGAUGACUGGGUUUCAAUCUGCCUGUGCCACUUUCGAGCUGUGUGAGCAGGGGCAAGUCACUUGAGCUCUCUGUGCCUCGGUUUCCCUGUCUGUAACAUGGGAAGAACGGCAGUUAUGUUUGAUUGCACACAGUCCUUGAAGGUGAUCCGCGUAAAUGAAGGUAUUUCAGUGCUUCGUCUUAGCUGUUGUGCUGCUCAACCAACGGGAGACCGGGAGACCGGGAGACCGAGUGGAGCUGCACCAGGCCUUGGGGACAGGAUGGUUUGUAUUUGCUACUGGCUUCAAAAAGCUCCAAAGUGUGACAUCCUUCACCUUUUAGUAAUAUCAAAGACUGGUUCCAAGCAUGGUUUCUUCCUGCACGUGCUUCCCAAGGUAAGUAUUUAAAUGUAAGUAUUUCGAAGUGUCUCUGCACUCAAGUCACCCAGCCCAAGAUUCACACAGGACUUCGCCUCCUUGUGAAUAAAGCGACACCGAUCCCGACCAGAGCAAGGCUCAGCCCCAAUUCUCUUGCGCAGAAGGACUCCAUGUCAUUCGUGUUGGCCCCCACGCGUCUCCAGGUCCAAUACGGCAUGGCACGGUUGCCUGCAACACUCUGUGCCUCACCAGUUUCCAACUCUAACUCCUGAUCCUCGCCCUCUAUCAGGAAGGGUCCUGCAAUUCUCAGUAAAAACAAAACUAAACAUAGUCUUACCGCGUGAUCCAGCAAGCCACGCUCCGCGGGAUUACUCAAAUGAGUUGAAAACUUCUGUCCAUACUAAAACCUGCAAACAGAGGUUUAUAGCAGCUUUAUUCAUAACCGCCAAACCUUGGAAGCAACCAAGGUGACCUUCGGUAGGUGAACAAAUAAACAAACUGUGCUACAUUCAGGUGAUGGAAUGUUAUUCAGUGCUAAAACGAACUGAACUAUGAAGCCAUAAAGACAUGGAGGAGCCUUAAAUGCAUAUCACUAAGUGGGGGUCGCCAGUCUGAAAAGGCUGCACACUGUAUGCCUCCAGCUAUGUGACAUUCUGGAAAAGGCACAACUGCGGACACAGUGAAAACAUCAGUGGCUGCCAAGGGUUGUAGGAGGGAGGGAUGACCAGGUGGCGCACAGAGGACCUUUAGGGCAGUGAAGCUACUCUGUCCCAUCUAUGAUGGCAUAUGCACGUCACUGUCCAUCGUUCAAACCCACAGAACGCACACCUGGUGCGAACCCUAAUGGCAACCGGGAGCUUUAAGGGAUAACGAUGUGUCAGUGCAGGCUCACCAGUUGCAGCGAACGUCGCACCCUGGGGGGGGGGGGGGGACGCUGACAGUGGGGAGGCUGUGCGAGCGUGGGGGCAGAGGGGAUACAGGAAAUCUCUGUACUCUACGUUCCAUUUCGCCAGGAACCUAAAACUGCUCUAAGAAAUAGUCUACUUUUUUAAAAAGGUAGUUUUAUCUUGCUCUCAUUUCUAAAAAAAAUUACUGAAGACCACACAAUCUUUGCACAAUGGUUGUUAACAAAGAUCCAAUACCAUGCAGCUGAGCAGCAUGGUCCUAAAUGCCUUUAAAGGCAUAUUCUCCCGAAUGUUAAUCCUUCAUGUACACUUGGCUUUAGGUGAAAAGAACACAUCAAAUGUUACAUAAUCAUAGAGGCACGUGAGUCAUAUACAAAUGUGUUCUUGCACAUAAUUAUAAAGCUAUUAGUGUAGUCUAUGCAAACAUGCAUGCUAAGCUGAAAUUUAUCAUCUUCAGAAGCCACCUCGGCUCUAUGAGCUUUUAGAUUGCCCAAGUUGAAACACCCACUUUUCCUAAAUUCCUCUUUAGUUCCAACUCCCAUCCUGUUUGUGUGUAAAUCCAAAUUUUCUCCUAAAAUUUCUCCUGCAUUUCUGGAAGAUAAGGUCUCCCAACAACCCAGGAAAACCACCAGCAAUGAUGUACUAGUUUAUGAGUUUGAGAAUCCUUUGAUGGGUCCUCUCUAUUUAUGUUUGUCAUUUCUUUAAGUGAAUUUUUAAAUGUCUCAGCCUGUGCACUUUUUUAAACUACUGGAUUAUAAAUUAAUGAAUGCUGUUGAAAAAUCCUGAGCAUAUGAAUUUCUAGAGCAGAUUUUCUCAACCCAAGGUCCUCCUUUGUGGAUAGUCCUAAAAAUCUCAUAGUGGGUAUUUUGAAAACAAGUGGUUUUCUCUUUUCCAAAUGUAAAAAUGAGAAACUAAAUAUGCUUUUCAAGCCAUACAUGGCCCCACAGAUUACGAUACUGUCCCGCUGGAGACGACGCCACCCCCCACCCCUACCACGCUCUGAAGAACAACUGUGCCAGAGCAACAAGGCUGUGGCCAGGGCCCCGCCCAUCAGAAGGCCCCUCCCUCAACCUGACUUCGUCUCCAACAGCCCGGGCCGCCCAGAGCCCCAAGGAGGCCUGACAACCACGUCCCAGCACUCCCGUGGCCCAGGUGCACAUCUCUGAUGACACGACAGCCAUACAAACACCCUUUGCACGAAGAGACCAGAAUCCUCCUGGAGCAAGCCCACGUGUUCGCAGUUACCAACUUCUCCUCAUUACACGGCAGGAAGGGGGUUCGCAAGACAGGAGGCCGUGUUCCACCAGCAUUUCGAGGGCUACCGAAGGUCAUCGACUAAAAAGGGGGAAAACACCUUUCCUCAAACAGCAGC
Molecule: non-coding RNA, 3209 nt
Organism: Equus caballus (horse)
Lineage: Eukaryota; Metazoa; Chordata; Mammalia; Perissodactyla; Equidae
Source: RefSeq, a predicted model, not a curated record